GGGCAGAAUACAAUACAGGGCAUUGUCUUGUAAUUGGAAUGAUGGUGACGUAAAAUCUCACCAGAGUAACAAUUGGAGGGCAAGUCUGGUGCCAGCAGCCGCGGUAAUUCCAGCUCCAAUAGCGUAUAUUAAACUUGUUGCAGUUAAAAAGCUCGUAGUUGAAUUUCUGCGUUGCCCGACUCGGCUACUUGCCUUGUCUGGUUUCGCUUUUGGGGUUUUCCCCUUUUUACUUUGAGAAAAUUAGAGUGUUUCAAGCAGACUUGUGUCUUGAAUACUUCAGCAUGGAAUAAUAAAGUAGGACUUUGGUUCUAUUUUGUUGGUUUGUGAACCUUAGUAAUGGUUAAUAGGAACGGUUGGGGGCAUUCGUAUUUAAA
RNAcentral lists this ribosomal RNA (374 nucleotides) under Babesia gibsoni. RNAcentral describes it as "SSU rRNA". It matches the Rfam family "Eukaryotic small subunit ribosomal RNA", at positions 471 to 902 of the family's 1831-position model. The record is from RNAcentral. Lineage: Eukaryota; Apicomplexa; Aconoidasida; Piroplasmida; Babesiidae.